Molecule: ribosomal RNA, 435 nt
Filed under: uncultured bacterium
Lineage: Bacteria
Description: partial 16S ribosomal RNA
Rfam family: Bacterial small subunit ribosomal RNA
Source: RNAcentral
AGCGAACGCUGGCGGCAGGCUUAACACAUGCAAGUCGAGCGGGCAUAGCAAUAUGUCAGCGGCAGACGGGUGAGUAACGCGUGGGAACGUACCUUUUGGUUCGGAACAACUGAGGGAGACUUCAGCUAAUACCGGAUAAGCCCUUACGGGGAAAGAUUUAUCGCCGAAAGAUCGGCCCGCGUCUGAUUAGCUAGUUGGUGAGGUAAUGGCUCACCAAGGCGACGAUCAGUAGCUGGUCUGAGAGGAUGAUCAGCCACAUUGGGACUGAGACACGGCCCAAACUCCUACGGGAGGCAGCAGUGGGGAAUAUUGGACAAUGGGCGCAAGCCUGAUCCAGCCAUGCCGCGUGAGUGAUGAAGGCCCUAGGGUUGUAAAGCUCUUUUGUGCGGGAAGAUAAUGACGGUACCGCAAGAAUAAGCCCCGGCUAACUUCGUG